AAUUUUGGACAAUGGGGGAAACCUUGAUCCAGCCAUGCCGCGUGUGUGAAGAAGGUCUUCGGAUUUUAAAGCACUUUAAGUUGGGAGGAAGGGCAUUAAGUUAAUACCUUGCUGUUUUGACGUUACCGACAGAAUAAGCACCGGCUAACUGCGUGCCAGCAGCCGCGGUAAUACGAAGGGUGAAAGCGUUAAUCGGAAUUACUGGGCGUAAAGCGCGCGUAGGUGGUUUGUUAAGUUGGAAGUGAAAGCCCCGGGCUCAACCUGGGAACUGCUUUCAAAACUGGCAAGCUAGAGUAUGGCAGAGGGUGGUGGAAUUUCCUGUGUAGCGGUGAAAUGCGUAGAUAUAGGAAGGAACACCAGUGGCGAAGGCGACUACCUGGACUGAUACUGACACUGAGGUGCGAAAGCGUGGGGAGCAAACAGG
Molecule: ribosomal RNA, 424 nt
Filed under: uncultured bacterium
Lineage: Bacteria
Description: partial 16S ribosomal RNA
Rfam family: Bacterial small subunit ribosomal RNA
Source: RNAcentral